GAUGAACGCUGGCGGCGUGCUUAACACAUGCAAGUCGAACGGAAAGGCCCAAGCUUGCUUGGGUACUCGAGUGGCGAACGGGUGAAUAACACGUGGGUGAUCUGCCCUGCACUUCGGGAUAAGCCUGGGAAACUGGGUCUAAUACCGGAUAGGACGAUGGUUUGGAUGCCAUUGUGGAAAGUUUUUUCGGUGUGGGAUGAGCUCGCGGCCUAUCAGCUUGUUGGUGGGGUAAUGGACUACCAAGGCGUCGACGGGUAGCCGGCCUGAGAGGGUGUACGGCGACAUUGGGACUGAGAUAAGGCCCAGACUCCUACGGGAGGGAGCAGUGGGGAAUAUUGCACAAUGGGCGCAAGCCUGAUGCAGCGACGCCGCGUGGGGGAUGACGGCCUUCGGGUUGUAAACUCCUUUCGCUAGGGACGAAGCGUUUUUGUGACGGUACCUGGAGAAGAAGCACCGGCUAACUACGUG
This 468-nucleotide ribosomal RNA is filed under the name uncultured bacterium. RNAcentral's name for it is "partial 16S ribosomal RNA". It matches the Rfam family "Bacterial small subunit ribosomal RNA", at positions 28 to 507 of the family's 1533-position model. The record is from RNAcentral.